UACGUAGGGGGCGAGCGUUGUCCGGAUUCAUUGGGCGUAAAGAGCUCGUAGGCGGCUUGGCAAGUCGGGUGUGAAACCUCCAGGCUCAACCUGGAGACGCCACCCGAGACUGCUAUGGCUAGAGUCCGGUAGGGGACCACGGAAUUCCUGGUGUAGCGGUGAAAUGCGCAGAUAUCAGGAGGAACACCGGUGGCGAAGGCGGGUCUCUGGGCCGAUACUGACGCUGAGGAGCGAAAGCGUGGGGAGCGAACAGG
This 254-nucleotide ribosomal RNA is filed under the name uncultured bacterium. RNAcentral describes it as "partial 16S ribosomal RNA". It matches the Rfam family "Bacterial small subunit ribosomal RNA", at positions 524 to 776 of the family's 1533-position model. The record is from RNAcentral.